This is a non-coding RNA of Vigna umbellata (rice bean), 1106 nucleotides long. The record is from RefSeq and is a predicted model, not a curated record. NCBI's taxonomy places the organism in Eukaryota, Viridiplantae, Streptophyta, Magnoliopsida, Fabales, Fabaceae.
GCUCCUAAUUUAAUAUCCAUGUUUGUCCUCCUUAGGAUUUUGGUGUUUAUUUUCUGUUUUUGUGUUAAAUAAUCUAACACUAUUAUAGGAUACAUUAUUUGUACAGUUCUGAAAAAUUAUCAAUUGCUGAUAGUGCAGAAUCUCAUAAAUCAGAUUCGCUUUUGGGAUUCUAAAAUUUAUAGAUUAGAAAUCCGGUGAUGCGGGUGAUGUGGGAUAGUUUUGAUCAGCUGUCUGAAAAUUCAGGGGAUUGCAAGGAUUUGUUGUGAGAGCGAUUAAGAAUUACACAGACCAGCUCCUGGACUAUGGCAAAGACACUCCAUGUAAACCAUUGCUAUGAGCUUACAACCUCUAUUUUUUCCCAAUUUUUUUGUUUAUAUCUUAUUCUCUCACUGACCAAAUUCUUAUUGAAUUGGUGAAAUCAUGAUAUCAGAUAUCCUCACACAAACUCUUUUGUUCCUCUCUCAUUUUAUGGGAGAUGUACAUCAGGUGAGCAUGAUAAACCACAAAAAUCACCAUAUACUAAGCUAGCAUCUGACUUUGCAAUUUAGUUAUUGUAAUGGCUCUUUUGCGUGGUGAAUCGGCACCCUCUACAUGUGGGAUUUACCUCUGACAAAGGAGGCAAUUUAAUUAACAUUCACUGGUAUAGAAGGAAGCAAAAUCUUCACCAUGUUUGGGAUGUCAACAUAAUUGAAACAGCCAAAGAAAGAUUUUAUGACUCAGACAUAAAUAGCUUCACCAAAGCCAUUCAAGAGAAUAUAACGAAAACAUGGUCUGAUCAAGUACGCGGAUGGGAAACCUGCAAUUCUAAGGAAACUACUUGCCCAGAUAUGUAUGCCUUUAGAUCUAUCCCAAAGCUACACUUUUUCUCACUCGAUAAUGCUUUGUCAAAAUCCUUUGCAAGUUGAUCACUAUCCGCAAGUGAAAAAAAUAACCAAACCAUUUCUGCUUGACAAGCUUUCUCAAUCUAGAUGUUAAUGUAAACUGAGUGGCCUUUGGGAAAUUAAUAACCCAAGCAACAUUGAAGUUGGUGCUAAACCUCCUGAGGUGAAGGAAAAAUUACAAGUCAAAAGAUCAAAAGGAAAUGCUAGUGGCUGUAGUUUGAAUAU